RNAcentral lists this unclassified non-coding RNA (378 nucleotides) under uncultured Parachlamydiaceae bacterium. RNAcentral describes it as "contains 16S-23S intergenic spacer region". Lineage: Bacteria; Pseudomonadati; Chlamydiota; Chlamydiia; Parachlamydiales; Parachlamydiaceae. The record is from RNAcentral.
UCCCGGUUAACCCGGGCAGUCUCAUUAGAGUUCCCACCUUUACGUGUUGGCAACUAAUGAUAAGGGUUGCGCUCGUUGCGGGACUUAACCCAACACCUCACGGCACGAGCUGACGACAGCCAUGCAGCACCUGUACAGCGGCCCCGAAGGGAGACUCCAUCUCUGGAGCUGUCCACUGUAUGUCAAGCCUGGGUAAGGUUCUUCGCGUUGCAUCGAAUUAAACCACAUGCUCCACUGCUUGUGCGGGUCCCCGUCAAUUCUUUUGAGUUUCACCCUUGCGAGUGUACUCCCCAGGCGGUAUACUUAUCGCGUUAGCUACGGCACAAUUGGGGUUGAGUCCAAUUACACCAAGUAUACAUCGUUUACAGCAAGGACUAC